AUUGAACGCUGGCGGCAGGCUUAACACAUGCAAGUCGAGCGGAGAUGAGGUGCUUGCACCUUAUCUUAGCGGCGGACGGGUGAGUAAUGCUUAGGAAUCUGCCUAUUAGUGGGGGACAACAUUCCGAAAGGAAUGCUAAUACCGCAUACGUCCUACGGGAGAAAGCAGGGGAUCUUCGGACCUUGCGCUAGUAGAUGAGCCUAAGUCGGAUUAGCUAGUUGGUGGGGUAAAGGCCUACCAAGGCGACGAUCUGUAGCGGGUCUGAGAGGAUGAGCCGCCACACUGGGACUGAGACACGGCCCAGACUCCUACGGGAGGCAGCAGUGGGGAAUAUUGGACAAUGGGGGGAACCCUGAUCCAGCCAUGCCGCGUGUGUGAAGAAGGCCUUAUGGUUGUAAAGCACUUUAAGCGAGGAGGAGGCUACUGAGACUAAUACUCUUGGAUAGUGGACGUUACUCGCAGAAUAAGCACCGGCUAACUCUGUGCCAGCCGCCGCGGUAA
RNAcentral lists this ribosomal RNA (501 nucleotides) under uncultured bacterium. Its description in RNAcentral is "partial 16S ribosomal RNA". It matches the Rfam family "Bacterial small subunit ribosomal RNA", at positions 30 to 523 of the family's 1533-position model. The record is from RNAcentral.